RNAcentral lists this long non-coding RNA (606 nucleotides) under Musa acuminata (dwarf banana). RNAcentral's name for it is "long non-coding RNA (MACU_LNC000861)". Lineage: Eukaryota; Viridiplantae; Streptophyta; Magnoliopsida; Zingiberales; Musaceae. The record is from RNAcentral.
GGGAGUUUCAGGUACGCUCUCUGUAAUGUCAUCAAUCAUAUCAGAGAACCUUUUUUCUGCAUCGACCUCGACAAAAAAUGAUGUUGCCGUGCUACGACAAGUAUGUCACGGCAGAUUUCCGUCAAGCUGUAGCCGAGGCAGGGCAUCCUGAUUGGAAGUUGCCAGAUGAUGCAGGUGAGUACAAUGACACCCCCGAGAAGACAAAGUUCUUUGCAGAGAACGGGACGUACCUCACAGAGAAGGGGAAGUUCUUCCUGACUUGGUACUCCAACAAGUUGCUGAAGCACGCAGACCAGAUCCUUGAUCGGGCCAACCAGGCUUUCCUCGGAUGCAAACUGAAGCUUGCCAUCAAAGUAUGUGUACAUGACUGAAGAUCUCGCCGUUGUUUCGAGUGAUACCUGAUGCUGUACGAAUCCAUAUCAGGUGUCUGGUGUUCACUGGUGGUACAAAGACGAUAGCCAUGCAGCAGAGCUCACCGCGGGCUACUACAACUUGAAGGUGCGAGAUGGCUACAGAACCAUUGCACGGCAGCUGACGAGGCACGAUGCCGUUCUGAACUUUACCUGCGUCGAGAUGAGAGACUCCGAGCAACCCGAAGAAGCCAAG